Acipenser ruthenus (sterlet) is the source of this 1574-nucleotide long non-coding RNA. RefSeq lists it as uncharacterized. The transcript has 3 exons. The record is from RefSeq and is a predicted model, not a curated record. Lineage: Eukaryota; Metazoa; Chordata; Actinopteri; Acipenseriformes; Acipenseridae.
AAAUCCCGGACGAGCCCGCUUUUUUUUUUCUCUGUUAAGAGACCAAUUUUUUUUCUUGUUACUAGGCCCUGGUGCAAGACUAUAAAGUCCCCACAUCAAUUAUGUUCUUAUUCGAUUAAGUUUGACUAAAUAAAGGUCCUGUGUUGUAAUUUUGUUUUAUUUUUUUCAGUACAGUAGUUACAAAAAUGUCUCAAUGUUACAAUAUUAUUAGAAGAGACCUGUUGAUUCUUACCAAUCAAAUAGAUGCAAACUCUGUGUCUCAGGACUAUAUUCUCUACCGUGUUGAAGUGGCGAACCUGGACGUCUGUACUUAGAUAUAUCAGUCAGCGCAAUCAAAUAUUAAAUAGUCUGGUCUGACUGCCUCCGACAUUUUCAACUUCUUGUCAGUGUGUGAAAGAACAAUUCGGGGAAGAAUGGAAGAGAAUAACACACGAGUUUCAGACUUGUAUUCAACUCUGGGUGACGAUGAGCUGGACUGCAUUGUUUCUGUAAUCCAUCAUAACUACCCCAAUACUGGUUACAAAAUGAUGCCUGGUCACCUAAAAUGGCGAGGCAUUCGGAUUCAGAGUAAGGUGGCGUGUAGUCAUUCAUGUGAAGGCUUUAGCCGGCUGAUUGUUUACCUUAAAGCUGCCACCAACAACGGAGCCUGCCCGGGUGAAAUCAGAUAAAGGGGGAGGAAAUGUAGACGUGGCACACUUCAUGGUGAACAGCAGAGGGGAGAACAGAAGUUCACACAUCACUGGAUGAAGUGUGCACAAUCAGAGGUAAAUAUGAACUUAAUAUUACACUAGGUGGAUGAUGCUCCUUGUCUGUGGUACUAUAGUAUCCAUUUAACUGACACACUUGUUGAUGGCACCUCUACUGUUUCUUUUUCUACAAGGUCUGUGCUCUGAAGUGAAGUCGCCUGCGCUCUAAAAUAAUAAAUAUGAAUUCAGAAUCAUUUAGUAUCAAGUGACUAAGAAGUUGUGAACAGCAAUGUUGGAAUUACCAUUUCCUAAAACCUACAUUACACACUAAAGGUAUUUGUUCAUUUAAACUAAAGUAAAACUUUCAAAAAAGAUUAUGCAUUUGUUAACCUUCAAUAAAUACAUUAAGAAAAAAUUCAUACCCACUACAGUUGUCGCUGUGACUCUUUAUUUUGGAAAAGGAGAAGUCUUUCUCACAUAUGAUACACUUCAUUGAUGGUCCAGUAGGUAAAGAAAAUCCAGGAACCUAUGAGAUGAAUUGUGUCAGUCUUGUAUCAUUCACUGCAAGUGCAAUGUUACACUAUUGCUGAAGGUUACACAUGUUUAAAAAGAUAGAAAAUAAACACAUUGAACUUUCAAAUCCCCCUAAAUAAAAAUGCUAAAUACAUUUUAACUUCUUAUUGACAUAUCCUUUUAUGAACACACUUAGAAUUAUCAUAAGAAAUCAAUAAAUUCUUACUUGAUCCAUAUUAAGUCAACUUCAUAUAUAUGACUGCAGAGCCAAUUUGUGUCUCUGGAUUUCGGAGGUAUCUUGUACAGUACCCUUCAUUAGGGCACAGAAUCACAGAGAACUUACAGCUGUGUGUAGAGCCAGAUAUCUUUAAAAGC